GGAGGGCGGCGGCGGCGGCGGCGGUCCGGAGCGGCCUCUGAGCCGCACGGGGCGACAGGUGGUGGAUGCGUUGCUGUCGGGCUGCGACGCAGAUUUCAUGGUGGGUGGGGUGUAGGUGGGUGUGUGGGGGCCUUAGGUCGGGUGCGUUGGAGGUUGUGUUUUACCUUGGCGGGUUAGGGGGUUUGUGUGUGUGUGUGUGUAUGUAUGUGUGGUGGGGUACAUGCCCGAGCCCAACAAAUCAAUCCCGUCGUAAGCAGAAAGGCAUGGGCGGGCUUGGGUCGGGUGGGUUUGGGGGGCUGGCGCCUUGGCGGGUUUGGGUUAGGGUUAGGGCUGGCUCGGGUUGGAUGGGCUGCAGGCGGGCGCGGGGGUUUCUCAAAGCUGGCUUUGCCAACACACUUGCUGCAGCUGGACUGACAGCGGCCACACGUGGAGGUUCAGGGGCAUGCGCAAGUGCAGGCAUGACGGCCCUCGUGAUGGUGGUUUUUCCAGCCUGGCAUUUCCAACACUCAUGCGCAUGCCCCUUUGUCACUCAUGUACUUGUGUUCGCACCAGGAAAACAAUACACCUGUAUGUUACGCCUGUGUGUGUAUGCACGCGCAGGUGCUUGUGGACCUGACCGCCAAGUCCCACCAGGUGUGUAACUUGUGUGUGUGUGUGUGUGUGUGUGUGUGUGUGUGUGUCCCGCUCCCGCUGCGGCUCCCCCCGCCCCACACGAAACCUGUGGACCUGACCGCCAAGUCCCACCAGGUGUGUAACUUUUUUGUGUGUGUGUGUGUGUGUGUCCCGCUCCCGCUGCGGCUCCCCCCGCCCCACACGAAACCGAAACACCCAACCCAACAGACCCGCUCACCCCCGUGUGGUAACGACUUCGUCUGCAGUCUUCAGUGCAUCCUGUACCGCUUUUCCAACCAUCCUUGCAAACCCCCCCCACACACACACACACACGCGCACGCCUGCCCCUCCAGGUCCUGUGCCUGCCCAUGAUGGCCCUGGCCUCGCGCUGCAUCGCCGCCCUCGCCCCCCGCGGCCCCGUGGCGGCUCCGCUGCAGCUGCUGCUGGCGCACUGCCACGCCCGACUGGGAGCCAACCUGGCCAAGUGGGUGGAGGCGCAGCGGGCGGCGGUGGAGGCGUACGGCGCAAGGCUGGCGGGCGCGGGAAGUGAGUGGGGAGGGGAGCGGACGUGGCGUGUGGGUGUGCGGAGGUGGUGUGUGUGAGGGUGUGGGUGUGGGUGUUUUGGGGGGUGGGGGUAUCUCACCAUGCCGAGUAAGAGAGCCGGGAAGGGGAGGGGGGAGGGGGUUGCAAGGAUUGGUACAGAGAAGUGGGGGAAGGGGUGGGGGAAGGGGAGGGGAAUAGGGAGCACGACGCUGGCGGGCGGGGAGGGAAUGCGUGUGCCAUACCGGUAGGCACACAAGCACAGUGCACUCAUCGGCAUAGUCCGGGAACUUCAAGUCAAGUACCGUACAUCGAAUUGCCCCAUACACGCGCCGCCGCUGCCUGCCAGUCCGCUCCUCGGCCUCUCCCUCUUACUCCCCCUCCUCCUCUCGCCCCCUCCCACGCCUCCCACCCCUCGCUCUUUCGCAUUGGGUUCGAUGUAGUUUGGGCUGGUGUCUACAAUCCCAUCCCUCCUCACACCCUCACUCACACCCUCAACCCCUGCUCCGCUCGUUUUCGUUGGUUUUGGUUGAGUUUGGGCUGGUAUUUACAACCCCUGCCCUCCAGGCGUCAAGUCGCACCACGUGGUCAACUUCAUCUCCCAGUUCGCACUCAUGGCACACCACAUAGAGGUGGGGGGGCCGCUGGCGGGGGGGACAGGAGGGGAAGGGGGAGGGGGAUCCGGGGAUGGCAAGGUUUGAAACAUUGGGAACCGGAUACAACCGGGCAGGGGAAAGGGGGAGCGGGCUUGCAUCAUGGAGGGGUAGCAUUGGAAAUGCCAGGGGCCGCGAGGGGAGGGGCUGGCCGUCCACGGAAGACAGGAGGGGCUCACGGGGUUGGCGGGCGGUUGCGGUUGCGGUUGCCGGGGUGAGGGGCCCGAGUGUGCGGUGCCUGAAAACGUAGUCCCUGGAAGGACCGGGCUGUAUGUGCACAAACACACACACACACACACAACACGCGCGUGUCGUUGCCCUUCCACACACCUUCACGCACCCACCACACACACGCCUCCGGCAGGUGAUGCUGUCGGAGACCCCUGACGCCCUCAUAGAGCAGCUCUCAGGCGGCGCGGCAGUAGCAGACCCCGCCACCUCGGCGGCAGUAGCAGACGGCAGGCGGCGG
RNAcentral lists this long non-coding RNA (2274 nucleotides) under Chlamydomonas reinhardtii. Its description in RNAcentral is "long non-coding RNA (CREI_LNC000782)". The record is from RNAcentral. Lineage: Eukaryota; Viridiplantae; Chlorophyta; Chlorophyceae; Chlamydomonadales; Chlamydomonadaceae.